UACGGAGAUGGCAAGCGUUGUUCGGAACCAUUGGGCGUAAAGGGCGCGUAGGCGGUAAUGUAAGUCGGUUGUGAAAUCCCCCGGCUCAACCGGGGAAUGGCUUUCGAAACUGCAUUGCUUGAGUGCGAGAGGGGAGAGCGGAACUUCUGGUGGAGCGGUGAAAUGCGUAGAUAUCAGAAGGAACGCCGGAGGCGAAAGCGACUCUCUGGCUCGCAACUGACGCUGAGGCGCGAAAGCUAGGGGAGCAAAUGGG
RNAcentral lists this ribosomal RNA (253 nucleotides) under uncultured bacterium. RNAcentral describes it as "partial 16S ribosomal RNA". It matches the Rfam family "Bacterial small subunit ribosomal RNA", at positions 524 to 776 of the family's 1533-position model. The record is from RNAcentral.